Molecule: ribosomal RNA, 261 nt
Filed under: uncultured archaeon
Lineage: Archaea
Description: partial 16S ribosomal RNA
Rfam family: Archaeal small subunit ribosomal RNA
Source: RNAcentral
AGGGUGUAAACGCUGCAGACUUGGUGUUGGGAACCCUUCGGGGGUGCUCAGUGCCGGAGAGAAGUUGUUAAGUCUGCUACUUGGGGAGUACGUCCGCAAGGAUGAAACUUAAAGGAAUUGGCGGGGGAGCACCGCAACGGGAGGAGCCUGCGGUUUAAUUGGACUCAACGCCGGGAAGCUCACCGGAUAAGACAGCGGAAUGAUUGCCGGGCUGAAGACUCUGCAUGACUAGCUGAGAGGAGGUGCAUGGCGUAGACGUCU